Molecule: long non-coding RNA, 676 nt
Filed under: Equus caballus (horse)
Lineage: Eukaryota; Metazoa; Chordata; Mammalia; Perissodactyla; Equidae
Description: lncRNA (ENSECAG00000059016.1)
Source: RNAcentral
AAAUGCAGAAACGCAUGAGGAAGAAAAUAAAAAUCACCUAUAGUUCCAUCAUCUAAUAGGAAUCACAAUUUAUGUGUUGUUGCUUUCCAUGUCUCUUAAACCACUGAUUUCGUGGUGCUAAUUGUGAUAUAUACUUACAUCAGUAGUACACUUGCUUUUUUUAAAAAAAUUCAAAUAGCGCAAUUGUUGAACGCAGAAAGUAAAGAGCUCCUGUAAUCCUCUCCCCGUGGUGAUGGAUGCUUUGCAGUUGGUCAUCUGUUCUGGGAAUUCUCCCCACUCUAUCCGUGUUUUCUAAUACUCUUCUAUCACAUCCUGAACGUCUCCUUUCCCCACCCUCUGCUGUCUUCAAUCCACCUAUAUUAGCCGGGGAAUUCUUGGUUGCAGACAACAGGAUCCACUUCAGCUAGUUUAAGCCAAAGCGGAUUUUUGAAGGCAUAGAGAGCUCACAGAAUUAUCAGGAGGGCCGGAGAUGCAGGACCUAGGCUGGCUUCCAGGGACAACCGGCUUCCCAAGUCACACUGAAGAACUGGCUCCCCGAGGGAGCUGCCACCUCACCAGGAUUCGGAAGCUGCCAAGUCAGGAUGUUACUGCCUUGGCUCCUGUCUCCGGAACCGGGCUCCCUCUGCCACAAUCCAUGCCAACAAAACGAUGCCCUGUUCCCUGUCUCUAUCUCCAU